CUGUUCUGUUCCUAAUUCAAGAUUGCUUUGUCUUGUCCUUUCUGAGCCUUGUUUACAUUACUUUUCCAAAAAACUGCAUGUAGCUCACCUUUAUCCCAAUUAACUGCCAAUAAAAGUCAGUGCCUGGGACUGGCCAGGGCCUGUCGGUUGUCCCUGCACCCCCGCUUUCUCUCUCCUAGUUCUGCCUUUUAGUUUUAUUUCUCAGGCCUCACGUGCGUAUACUGGGCAGGGUUCUGGAACCUAACUGCAGGAUCUCUAGUACUUGGCGCCCAUGGUCAGGGCUCAAACCAUGAGCAAUCACCUGCUCAGUAAGGCUACUCGGAAUAAAAGAAGGAGUCGACAAUAGCGUGCACCUCACACCAAGGUCAAGGACAAGCACAACAACCCAGAGAAAGAGUUUAGAGACCAAAACUAUAAAGGUAACUGGGCUAAGAAGACAGCCAAUAUUUUGGCCCUGGCCCUUCAAGGUCUACAAACAGCCCAGGUCAUGACAGAAUCUUUUCUACAAGAUCCUACAACUUUGGUAAGUCACCGAACCUCCUGAGCAGGGAGACUGUGGGACACCAAAAAAAGGUAAGGAUCUGCAAAUGUAAAGUUUGCCAAAGGAGUGUCACAUGAAGGGAAAAAUCUCCCACGCUUUCACAGAAAGCAACAUGGUCAAGCAAGGCCACGACCCAUCCCGAUGGCUGACACUGACAGGAGCUGAGCAGCUCUGCACAAGGCUCAAUGUGAUGCCUGUGGAGACUUAGCUGACCUUGACAGUUAGGAAGUGGUUAAUUUUAAUUAAUAUAGAUCAGUAGAAAAGCAUAAUCCAAAGAUAUAUGAAGUAAAGACCAUAGUAAUAAAGCUGGGUGUAAGAAGAGGCUCCAAUUGCUGACCUCUUGUGGCAGUUUCCAGCUACACUGCUGACUCGCCCGUUAUAGGUCAUUAGAAGAGACUACGGUAAAAUUUAUAGACAUCAACAAGAGUUUUUAGAAUUUUUAGCUAAAAUUGUUUUUUAAAAUUAUUAAAUUUUCAAUCUUUUUACAGCUAAAAUUAAAAGAAAAAUUAUGACAAAAUAUCAGACCAAUGGCUGGUCCGAGUACAGUGGUGUUUACAACUAAUUGAUCACAACCAGUUACAGAUAAGCUCCAUUAGUAAAAGGGUCUAAGAGUCAGCAGGUUCCACUCACUAUUUUAGUCCUUUAAAAACAGUUUCUAAACACGGCUCUUUCCCCAACCUGCAUUUUUUAUUUUAGUACUUAUACUUUGAUUAUACAUGCUCUAAUUUAAGAAAUUGUUUGUUCUUGCAUAUAGGCUGCCAAACUCCAAGUGAUCAUAUAGAUAAAAUCAACAAGAAAUGUGCUAAUUUUUUUAACCAAAAUCCACCAGACUGACUUUAUAAGAGUUUAUAGUUGCUAAAUUACAACAUAAUUUUUUUAUUUAAGGCUAUUAAAUUAGCCCCCUAAAGAGAGCCCCUAACUGUGGUCUUCCCUACACGACACUUCUCAGCUCAAAAGAGAUUAAAACUAUGCUCUUCUCCCCUAACCACAGCUGGAGAUGCUCUUUUAUAAAAAAAUUAUUAUAGGCAACUAAGUCAGUUAAACACAUUAUAUAUCCUCGUGACAUAAGUUCAUUAAAUACCUCUCAGGGACAAGCCAUUGUUGGGCAUACUCACCUUUCCCUAAAAACACAAUCACAUAAACAAAGGGGGGGGGGGUCAGCUACCUCCAUAAGUUCAAUUAGAUCUUGUUAUUUUCAUUUUAAAUGUUUAAAAUCCACUUAUGGAAGCUAAAUAUACUCCACUGAAACUUCAUUAAUACAAAGAUAGAUCUACAGACAUGGCCUAGACACUAGUGUUGUCAAAGUAUGUCCUAACUAAAAGGUAAAUGGCUAAAAACAAUUAAUAACAUAGGGGCCAGAAUAUGCUUUUUUUUCAACAGAAAAUAAGAUGCUGUGACCAUCAUCCCAGAAUGUACCACCACGGACCAAGAUGAUAGAUUUGCUGCAAGCAGCACAAUGUGACCCCCGCUGAGGGCCAUGCAAAAGCUACAUGUGAGUGACUCUCCUCGCCUGCAACAGCCCUUGGACCUGCAAAGAUCACCAGACCUAACGCAGCUGACGUUUUCAACAGAGAAGAGGGAGAUGCAGAGGACUAUAAUAUUGAUUAUGACCAAAGCAGACUAAAGAGCUAACCCCACAAUCAGCUUGUUUAUAGAAAUGAGUCCAAAGCCCAUGUGCCAAGGUCAGAGUAACUCGCACCCAAAUUCCAUUCCCACAACUAAAACCUCCUGACUAGAAAGACAAUGUUCUAAUUACAAUCAUGUAUUUGUCUAUUCUGUUCCUAAUUCGAGAUUGCUUUGUCUUGUCCUUUAUGGGCCCUGUUUACAUUAAUUUCCAUAGGAAUUCCACACAGCUUGCUUUUACCCCAAUUAACUGCCAAUAAAAGUCAGUGCCUGGGACUGGCCAGGGCUUUGGGUGGUUGCACCAGCACUGGUCGGUCCUGGCCCCCUUUCUCUCUCCUAGUUCUGCCUUAGUUUUAUUUCUUAGGCCUGCGUCGUAUACUGGGCAGGGUGCUGAAACCUAACUGCAGGUGUCUCCAGUAACAGCACAGCA
This 2594-nucleotide long non-coding RNA is filed under the name Heterocephalus glaber (naked mole-rat). RNAcentral's name for it is "lncRNA (ENSHGLG00100046519.1)". Lineage: Eukaryota; Metazoa; Chordata; Mammalia; Rodentia; Bathyergidae. The record is from RNAcentral.